This 764-nucleotide small RNA is filed under the name Cryptocarya natalensis. RNAcentral describes it as "sequence contains 18S rRNA gene, ITS1, 5.8S rRNA gene, ITS2 and 28S rRNA gene". The stretch from base 306 to 461 matches the Rfam family "5.8S ribosomal RNA". Lineage: Eukaryota; Viridiplantae; Streptophyta; Magnoliopsida; Laurales; Lauraceae. The record is from RNAcentral.
AAGGAGAAGUCGUAACAAGGUUUCCGUAGGUGAACCUGCGGAAGGAUCAUUGUCGCACGCAGAGAGAACCAACACGCGAACCGGUUCCGUCGCGCAUCCGCCGCCCGCGGGGAGCGCGGUCUGGGCCCCCUCGGAUCCGACGUCUCCCGGCCGUCUUCCUCGCGCGUCGAGGGCCGCCGCGGAGCGCCGGCGGGGCCCGCGCGCGACCCGCAGGGCAUCACCCCCAGGGCGCGUCACGCGCCAAGCACUCGAAGCGAAGGGUGCGGCGGCCACGCCCGUCGCACGUCCCUGACCGACUGAAAUACGACUCUCGGCAACGGAUAUCUCGGCUCUUGCAUCGAUGAAGAACGUAGCGAGAUGCGAUACGUGGUGUGAAUUGCAGAAUCCCGUGAACCAUCGAGUCUUUGAACGCAAGUUGCGCCCGAGGCCACCCGGCCGAGGGCACGCCUGCCUGGGCGUCACGCCCCCGAUCGCUCCCCCUCGGCGGCCCGCGUCGACGGGGGGGGCGGAGACUGGCCGCCCGUGGGCAGACUCGUCUGCGCGCGGUCGGCCCAAAGCGCAGGUCGCCGCGCGGCGCGGCACGACGUGUGGUGGUUUAGAGGCGCGAGCCGCAGAGGAUCGGACGUCGCGCCGGAGCUUUUAGCCGCCCGCAGCGCACCCCGUGGGAUCCAGGAGUCCCGUUCCGGCGGGCACUCGGACCGCGACCCCAGGUCAGGCGGGACCACCCGCUGAGUUUAAGCAUAUCAAUAAGCGGAGGAGAAGAA